RNAcentral lists this ribosomal RNA (519 nucleotides) under uncultured bacterium. RNAcentral describes it as "bacterial SSU rRNA". It matches the Rfam family "Bacterial small subunit ribosomal RNA", at positions 94 to 611 of the family's 1533-position model. The record is from RNAcentral.
AGCGGCGAACGGGUGAGUAACGCGUGGAUUAUCUGCCCUGAGGUGGGGGAUAACCCGGGGAAACUCGGGCUAAUACCGCAAUGACCGUGAGGUCAAAGGGGGGUCGCAAGAUCUCUCGCCAUAGGAGGAGUCCGCGUACGAUUAGCUAGUUGGUAGGGUAAUGGCCUACCAAGGCGACGAUCGUUAGCCGGCCUGAGAGGGUGAUCGGCCACACUGGAACUGAGACACGGUCCAGACUCCUACGGGAGGCAGCAGUGGGGAAUUUUGCGCAAUGGGCGAAAGCCUGACGCAGCAACGCCGCGUGGAGGAUGAAGGUCCUUGGAUUGUAAACUCCUGUCAGCAGGGAAAAAGCAAUUUAGCCUCAUACGCUAGAAAGUUGAUUGUACCUGCAGAGGAAGCCCCGGCUAACUCUGUGCCAGCAGCCGCGGUAAUACAGAGGGGGCAAGCGUUAUUCGGAAUUAUUGGGCGUAAAGGGCGCGUAGGCGGCUUGGCAAGUGGAUGGUGAAAUCCCUCGGCUUA